CGUAACUAUAACGGUCCUAAGGUAGCGAAAUUCCUUGUCGGGUAAGUUCCGACCUGCACGAAUGGUGUAACGACUUGGGCGCUGUCUCAACAAGGGGCUCGGCGAAGUUGUACUUGCGGUGAAGAUGCCGCAUACCCGCGACGGGACGGAAAGACCCCGUGCACCUUUACUGUAGCCUGAUAUUGGGUUCUGGCAAGGUUUGUAGAGGAUAGGUGGGAGGCUAUGAAGCCUGGGCGCUAGCCUAGGUGGAGCCAACCUUGGAAUACCACCCUGGUCUUGUUGGAAUCCUAACUUGAUACCGUUAUCCGGUAUGAGGACACUGUCAGGUGGGCAGUUUGACUGGGGCGGUCGCCUCCUAAAGAGUAACGGAGGCGCCCAAAGGUUCCCUCAGCGUGUUUGGUCAUCACGCGUAGAGUGUAAAGGCAUAAGGGAGCUUAACUGCGAGACCUACAAGUCGAGCAGGUGCGAAAGCAGGGCUUAGUGAUCCGGCGGUUCCGAGUGGAAGGGCCGUCGCUCAGCGGAUAAAAGGUACGCCGGGGAUAACAGGCUGAUCCUCCCCGAGAGUUCAUAUCGACGGGAGGGUUUGGCACCUCGAUGUCGGCUCAUCGCAUCCUGGGGCUGAAUAAGGUCCCAAGGGUUUGUCUGUUCGCCAAUUAAAGCGGUACGCGAGCUGGGUUUAGAACGUCGUGAGACAGUUCGGUCCUUAUCUGUCGUGGGCGUAGGAUAUUUGAGGGGAGCUGUCCUUAGUACGAGAGGACCAGGAUGGACGAACCUCUAGUGCACCAGUUGUCGCGCCAGCGGCAUGGCUGGGUAGCUAUGUUCGGAAGGGAUAAGCGCUGAAAGCAUCUAAGCGCGAAGCCCACCCCAAGACGAGAUAUCACUUCCCUUAUGGGAACUGAAGGUCCCUCGGAGAUGACGAGGUUGAUAGGCCACAGGUGUAAG
This 942-nucleotide ribosomal RNA is filed under the name uncultured Latescibacterota bacterium. RNAcentral describes it as "bacterial LSU rRNA". It matches the Rfam family "Bacterial large subunit ribosomal RNA", at positions 1935 to 2873 of the family's 2925-position model. The record is from RNAcentral. Lineage: Bacteria; Pseudomonadati; Candidatus Latescibacterota.